AGCUGCGUAGUGGGCACAAAGCGAACUAUUCUUUCGCCUUUUACUAAAGAAUACCGUGUGCUCGCUGCAUAUAGCAGCUUACUCAAAUUUUUUGAGGGGAUUUUCAGCAUUUGGAGAAC
Molecule: small nuclear RNA, 119 nt
Filed under: Oryza punctata
Lineage: Eukaryota; Viridiplantae; Streptophyta; Magnoliopsida; Poales; Poaceae
Description: snRNA U5
Rfam family: U5 spliceosomal RNA
About the family: U5 RNA is a component of both types of known spliceosome. The precise function of this molecule is unknown, though it is known that the 5' loop is required for splice site selection and p220 binding, and that both the 3' stem-loop and the Sm site are important for Sm protein binding and cap methylation.
Source: RNAcentral